GACGAACACUGGCGGCGUGCCUAAUACAUGCAAGUCGAACGCUUUUUCUUUCACCGGAGCUUGCUCCACCGAAAGAAAAAGAGUGGCGAACGGGUGAGUAACACGUGGGUAACCUGCCCAUCAGAAGGGGAUAACACUUGGAAACAGGUGCUAAUACCGUAUAACACUAUUUUCCGCAUGGAAGAAAGUUGAAAGGCGCUUUUGCGUCACUGAUGGAUGGACCCGCGGUGCAUUAGCUAGUUGGUGAGGUAACGGCUCACCAAGGCAACGAUGCAUAGCCGACCUGAGAGGGUGGUCGGCCACACUGGGACUGAGACACGGCCCAGACUCCUACGGGAGGCAGCAGUAGGGAAUCUUCGGCAAUGGACGAAAGUCUGACCGAGCAACGCCGCGUGAGUGAAGAAGGUUUUCGGGUCGUAAAACUCUGUUGUUAGAGAAGAACAAGGAUGAGAGUAGAACGUCCAUCCCUUGACGGUAUCUAACCAGAAAGCCACGGCUAACUACGUGCCAGCAGCCGCAGUAA
This 523-nucleotide ribosomal RNA is filed under the name uncultured bacterium. RNAcentral's name for it is "partial 16S ribosomal RNA". It matches the Rfam family "Bacterial small subunit ribosomal RNA", at positions 28 to 523 of the family's 1533-position model. The record is from RNAcentral.